GCAUAAGAAGUAAAACUUACAUUCAACUUCGAACUGAAAAUUUAGCUCUAAGCUCUUAUUUA
This 62-nucleotide transfer RNA is filed under the name Bothropolys sp. SP-2004. Its description in RNAcentral is "tRNA-Arg". The record is from RNAcentral. Lineage: Eukaryota; Metazoa; Arthropoda; Chilopoda; Lithobiomorpha; Ethopolyidae.